RNAcentral lists this long non-coding RNA (447 nucleotides) under Mytilus galloprovincialis (Mediterranean mussel). The record is from RNAcentral. Lineage: Eukaryota; Metazoa; Mollusca; Bivalvia; Mytilida; Mytilidae.
AUUACUGUUGUUGUAUUUGAAAGAAUUAUAAAUUUUGAAAAAAUAUUUAUAUGAGUUAUUUGUAGUAUGGUAAGAUUAUUCAUAUCCAAAGUAUAAUACAUGUAAUACUUAACAAACACCUAAAGAUUUUAUGAAAGACCAACCGACCAAAGUUGCAGCUUAAUUUAAUGUUGAUAUAAAUGAGAUGUUGUAUUGCUCCACUAGAUGUGCUGGACAAGUAGUGCUUUUACAGUAAUUUGAGAGUAACAUGUUAUAAUUUAAAAAAAACAUUUUUGAUAUUUAUGUGUAACAUACAUGAUGCACAUUUUAGUGGAAUUUUAGAAAAGCCUGGUGAUGUUUAGUAACAUUUGUGUUUCAUAGCUUUUGAUACAUGUAUGACAUGUUUGUGUUAUUAUUGUGUACUUUGUUGAUUGUAAAUGAACAUUGCUGUAUAAUUUAAAAAUAAAU